GUGCUCACUUCAGCAGCGCAUAUACUCAACUGGACCAAUAAUAGAGAUUAACAUGACCCUUGUCCAAGGAUGAGAUGUAAAUUCUUGAAACAUUUUAUGUUUUU
Molecule: small nuclear RNA, 104 nt
Organism: Rhinolophus ferrumequinum (greater horseshoe bat)
Lineage: Eukaryota; Metazoa; Chordata; Mammalia; Chiroptera; Rhinolophidae
Source: Ensembl